Molecule: ribosomal RNA, 520 nt
Filed under: uncultured Acaulospora
Lineage: Eukaryota; Fungi; Glomeromycota; Glomeromycetes; Diversisporales; Acaulosporaceae
Description: SSU rRNA
Rfam family: Eukaryotic small subunit ribosomal RNA
Source: RNAcentral
AGCAGCCGCGGUAAUUCCAGCUCCAAUAGCGUAUAUUAAAGUUGUUGCAGUUAAAAAGCUCGUAGUUGAAUUUCGGAAUUUGUCGGUCGGUCGGGCUUUAUUGUCCGCACUGGCCUGAUAGAUUCUUACCUUCUGAAUAACCAGCAUGCUAUUAAUUUAGUGCGUUGGGGAAGCAGAGCUAUUACCUUGAAAAAUUAGAGUGCUUAAAGCAGGCUUAUGCUUGAAUAGAUUAGCAUGGAAUAAUAAAAUAGGACGGCUUGGUUCUAUUUUGUUGGUUUCUAGGAUCACCGUAAUGAUUAAUAGGGAUAGUUGGGGGCAUUAGUAUUCAAUUGUCAGAGGUGAAAUUCUUGGAUUUAUUGAAGACUAACUUCUGCGAAAGCAUUUGCCAAGGAUGUUUUCAUUAAUCAAGAACGAAAGUUAGGGGAUCGAAGACGAUCAGAUACCGUCGUAGUCUUAACCAUAAACUAUGCCGACUAGGGAUCGGACGAUGUUAAUUUUUAAUGACUCGUCGCGCCUUAAC